AGGCACCCGUAACAGAAAUACCGAACUGUGACACUUCCCAUUAUAGACCUAGCAUAGCGGCAGGGACAUUUUCACUUACCUUCCAGCCAAGAGCUACAAGACGCUUUACUACAAGCUGAUGGAAAGCUGGAAUUCCAAUCUGAUCCACAGACAAACCCCACACCUCAGGAGAAGCAUCUCAGUAUUACUUAUUAUAUC
Molecule: long non-coding RNA, 198 nt
Organism: Dipodomys spectabilis (banner-tailed kangaroo rat)
Lineage: Eukaryota; Metazoa; Chordata; Mammalia; Rodentia; Heteromyidae
Exons: 2
Source: RefSeq, a predicted model, not a curated record